Triticum aestivum (bread wheat) is the source of this 676-nucleotide long non-coding RNA. RefSeq lists it as uncharacterized. NCBI's taxonomy places the organism in Eukaryota, Viridiplantae, Streptophyta, Magnoliopsida, Poales, Poaceae. The record is from RefSeq and is a predicted model, not a curated record. The transcript has 3 exons.
CCACUUUUGGCCUACAUAGUGGAGGGCCUAAAGCGCGCCUACCCAACCCCACUCCGUCUCGAAUUCCAUGGGCGAGCUCAUCCCCAAGCUCGCUCACGGCGACGACCAAAUCUGCCACAACCCUCCUCCACACCAAAAAAACUAGCGACGGUUACAGCUGCUCCACCUCGCCGGUGCGGCGUCCUACCCCUGCUCCGGCGAUCCGUGAUCUCAACACACUCAGCCUGGCCCCCUUCUCCACCAAGGGUCCCCGCUAGAUUAAUCCCGUUACCAUCGCUCCCACCUCGUCGGUGCGCCGUAUCGGAUCGGCAAAGACUGCAUGUGAAUCCCUGGCCUAGCCCCCCUGGAAGCACAUAAGAAAUUCGUAAGAAGCAGCAUCGCACCUUCGGGUAGUAGGAAGCAAAUAACAAGUUAGCAAGAAGCAGCACGUGCGUGCACAUGGCGAUGGGACAAGUCCUUGUCUUUUGCUUGCAAUUUGUGUCACUGUGGUAGAUGAUGCGCUGCUUCCUGACCACCACAGAAGCAAAGCAUAUAUUUAACUGAGACAUAUAUUCAUCACUGUGGAAACAUUCCCCAUGUUAUUUGAAAUAAAUAUUUUUAGUGAAAAAAAUCUAUAAUUGUAUGAAAGCGAUCCCCUAGUCUAUGGAAAUAGUAUCACAAUGAUUUGAAAGCAAAA